AACGAACGCUGGCGGCAUGCCUAACACAUGCAAGUCGAACGAGACCUUCGGGUCUAGUGGCGCACGGGUGCGUAACGCGUGGGAACCUGCCCUUAGGUUCGGAAUAACUCCCCGAAAGGGGUGCUAAUACCGGAUAAUGUCUUCGGACCAAAGAUUUAUCGCCUUUGGAUGGGCCCGCGUUGGAUUAGCUAGUUGGUAGGGUAAAAGCCUACCAAGGCGACGAUCCAUAGCUGGUCUGAGAGGAUGAUCAGCCACACUGGGACUGAGACACGGCCCAGACUGCUACGGGAGGCAGCAGUGGGGAAUAUUGGACAAGGGGCGAAAGCCUGAUCAAGCAAUGCCGCGUGAGUGAUGAAGGCCUUAGGGUUGUAAAGCUCUUUUACCCGGGAUGAUAAUGACAGUACCGGGAGAAUAAGCACCGGCUAACUCGGUG
This 433-nucleotide ribosomal RNA is filed under the name uncultured bacterium. RNAcentral describes it as "partial 16S ribosomal RNA". It matches the Rfam family "Bacterial small subunit ribosomal RNA", at positions 29 to 507 of the family's 1533-position model. The record is from RNAcentral.